This 429-nucleotide ribosomal RNA is filed under the name Bacteroidota bacterium. RNAcentral's name for it is "Bacteroidetes bacterium partial 16S ribosomal RNA". It matches the Rfam family "Bacterial small subunit ribosomal RNA", at positions 355 to 776 of the family's 1533-position model. Lineage: Bacteria; Pseudomonadati; Bacteroidota. The record is from RNAcentral.
UAGGGAAUCUUCCGCAAUGGACGCAAGUCUGACGGAGCAACGCCGCGUGAGUGAAGAAGGAUUUCGGUUCGUAAAACUCUGUUGUUAGAGAAGAACAGCGCAUAGAGUAACUGUUAUGCGUGUGACGGUAUCUAACCAGAAAGCCACGGCUAACUACGUGCCAGCAGCCGCGGUAAUACGUAGGUGGCAAGCGUUGUCCGGAUUUAUUGGGCGUAAAGCGAGCGCAGGCGGUCAAUUACGUCUGAUGUGAAAGCCCCCGGCUCAACCGGGGAGGGUCAUUGGAAACUGGUUGACUUGAGUGCAGAAGAGGAGAGUGGAAUUCCAUGUGUAGCGGUGAAAUGCGUAGAUAUAUGGAGGAACACCAGUGGCGAAGGCGACUCUCUGGUCUGUAACUGACGCUGAGGUUCGAAAGCGUGGGUAGCAAACAGG